Long non-coding RNA from Diorhabda carinulata, 5204 nucleotides. RefSeq lists it as uncharacterized. NCBI's taxonomy places the organism in Eukaryota, Metazoa, Arthropoda, Insecta, Coleoptera, Chrysomelidae. The record is from RefSeq and is a predicted model, not a curated record. The transcript has 3 exons.
AGUGCAUCAAUUUUCCUCAGUUUGAUCAUAAACAUUAGAAUUUAUAAGGAAUGGACAUGACACGGUACUGACAUGGUAACUUAAGAUAUUAAACAACAAGUGCAUCAAUUUUCCUCAGUUUGAUCAUAAACAUUAGAAUUUAUAAGGGGGGCUUCGUCCCCUUACCUCACGGGUGCUUCGCUCCUCGACACCAAGCCGCGAGGAACGGGUGAGUUUGGAGAAGGGAGAUUAGGGGCAGAUAAAUUCGGAGCGGUUAGAUUUGGAACGAUUUUUUACAGUCAUUCUUCUUAUUCGGUUCAUUUUUAUUUAUUUUUUCCUAAUUAAGCCAAAUCCGCUGUUAAAUCGCGGCGCCACGGAAAUCGUACUCUCCCUGUGCUAAAGUAGACACACUGUUUAAGACCAGUCGGCAUUUUAUAAGCUCGAUAGAAUUCAGGAAAAGGUAAAAUGUCGAAAAACUAUUAUAAUAUGCUUAGUUUCUGAUAUUUCGAUAAUUUCAAUCAACAAAAUUAGCAAGAUGCCGAUCUGUGGUCAGAUUUAGUAACACAUUCUCUCUGAAUUAUGCAAUAAUACCAAUACAUCAAAGAAAAGUGAGUAAAUAAGAGAAUAUCGCUUAUAUAAACGCUAGUGUAGCAGCAGAUCUUAAUGGAGCUUUGUCUAUUCACCACAUAGAACCAUUUCUACAAAUUGAUGAUUGCCUAUACCUUUAUGAAAUGCUAUAGGUAUAGAAACUGGAGCCACGACAUUAUAAUAUGCGUUGAUAAAUGAAAUUGCCGCUUAUGGAGUGUAACCAUUCCAAAAGAGAUCCUAAAUACUCCAUUAGAUUCAGAUAAAUACAGCAAUUGAUUCAAUUUAUACGUUAGUGGAAUCAUUAGAUCACAUUUCUUCAAAAAUGACGCCAGAUUUUACGUUAUAGUCAAAGUAGAUCUCAUCGCAUCAUAACUGAUAAAUUUUUGUUUGGAAAUAUAAAUGACAUUGGUUCGAGUAUCAUUUGGUUUCACCUUAUCGGUGCUACGUACCAUACGUUGACCGUAACCAAUGAAAUUGAAAUUUGGAGAGAAGUUGAUUUCGAAAAUUCUCAAUUGGCAUUUGAAGUCGUACGCUUCAACAUCACUCGAUUAUUUCUUGUGAGGUUAUGUCAAUUUUCUGGUUGAUACUGAUUAAUGACCAACAAUGCUCCAAAAAGUGACACUAAAUUAGUACUGCAUAUUGAUCUUUGGAUUGAAAGAAUCUUAUUCAAAUUCUUCUGAUGUUUUUAUCUUUCCAAUUUCUAUCAAGCUUGGAAAAAUUGAGUGAAAUUUUUUAUUACAGUUAUCUUUAGAGAGUAAACUAAAAUAGGAUCGUAUCUUUUACUUUUCUUUAUAUUCCAAAUUAUGGGAACAUCGUACAAAUGAUAAUACAAGUGAAACUUGUAUUAUCAUGAAGUUCCAUGAAGAUCCUAUGAGUAAUUUCUUCACACACAGAACUUUCAUAUUUUCAGACGAUUGUUUUAUUGAAUCUGAUAUUUUCUAAUUAUAGUCUCUUUCAUCAACUGUGUAUAUAGUGGCUCUCGAAAAUUUAUUAGUUUUAAGUGAAUAUAAAUUGAUCCACUAUGAUUCAUAUAUGUUUAAUUGGGUAUAUUCUGAGGUAACGUAUAAUUAUACGGGGCUCAAUAUAAAAACAAUUUCUUUAAUUUCUCAUUUCUUAGACCUUCUGAUAUACAAUUAUAAAUGAUCGCAAAUUGGAAAUUGAACCAAUUUUUUAGAGACAUUUUACGAGAAAAUUGGAAGUUUUCGUUUUGUCAAUUUAAUAAACAAUAUAAACAGUAUAGAAUAGAGCAUUAAAUGAUAUACGCUGAGUAACAUUCCAGAAGGACUUUUGAAGACUUUGAAGGCCAUUUCCCAGUAUUGAAAAUUCUUUUUUAGGCCGAUUAGAAAAUAUAUAAAGUGGGUGAAUGAUAGAAGGCCAUUCUAAUUAGUGAACUCAUUUCUUUCCUUCAUUCACUGGAUGUAUUUUUCUAUUCUCAUCUAAUUUUAAUCACUUAAGUUUUAUAAAGCUCUUCCAGAUGGUCUUGCAAGGAACACGGCCCAAACAAUGCCAAUAUUCAGUCGUUAAACUUUAAAAUAAAGUUGUACCAAUAAAUAUAUUGGCUCUCAUUAAAACUAUAUGAUGAGCUCUAUCAUUCAAGCGAAAAAUUAAAUUCUCAAUAUAUUUUUAUCAUCUAUUAAAAAUUCAACAAAUAUCAUCGUAUAAUAAUAUAUGUAUUAAUGAGAUUUAUUUAAAAAUAGUAAUACCUGCCAACGUGUUUUAUAAUGAAAUUAAAAACUAACCUCACCAAAAUGGAAUUCUUAUGAGUCCAUUCUUCAUACGACCAGAAUGUUCCUAGGAAGGCCAAACUAACAAUUAUGACUUCACCUCCAUCAUAUUAAUUAUAAUAAAAUAAUAGCAACUACAGACUUGUUGUCAGGAAUAUCUUGUAACUAUUUUAUGUAUACGAGGGUUGCUACUCAAGAUUUGAGAUAAACAUAUUGUUUUUCAAAAUUUGUUCCAUUAAGAUCAAUACACUGUUGCAUUUGAACCAAAACAUUUUUUCCAUUCCGAUUGAGGUACAUCCAAAACAUGUUAUUCUUCAGGUGUAGGACUUUGACUUCAUAAUUUAUUGUUGUUGAUCUGCGGGAAUAAGAAGGAAUCAUUGGGUGCCAAACAAUAUUUGGUGGCCGACGAAUUCGAUGUUUUGACUGUUUUUGUUUGAACUGAUUUGUGAGAACUCGCAUUGUCCUGGUGGAGUUCACAUGCAUUGAUCCAUUAUUCGUAGCCUGUAAAAAUCUCAUACACGUUUUUGGAACCACUGCUAUUGAAAGUUUAGCAUUUCGAUAUCAUAUUAUGCGGUAUUCAACGCGAACAAAUCUUUUUGACAGCCAAAGGUUUAUGCAGAAUUGAAUGUAUGCGAGUGGAGCUGAUGCCAAGAAUGCCUCACAUUUACGACUCAAAGAUAAAUUAUUUCCAGAUAUCAACAGACAGAGUCAGACAGGGCUGUAUACUGUCACCACUACUUUUCAAUUUAUACUCGAAACAUGUAUUCCGAGAGGACUUUGGUGAAGAUGUUGAAUAAGGUAUAAAAAUAAAUGGGGUGACCGUAUAAACUUCCGAUACGCCGAUAACACUGUCCUCGUAGCUGACUCAAUGGAAGGCUUAGAAAAGUUAUUAGAUCAAAUGAAUGAGAAAUGUCAGGAGCAUGGAAUAAAGCAUAAUACCAAAAAGACUAAGUACAUGAUCAUUCUUUUGUAUGGUGUGGAAACAUGGACAUUGACGGAAGCAGCUCUUGAAAAGCUCGAAGCUUUCGAAGUGUGGGCAUAUAAGGGUAUGCCUCGAAUCAGCUGGCAGGGUAGAAGUUAUGGUGCAAAUGAGAUAGAAGAGACAUUUUAAGAUCUGUUAAGACCAGUAAAUUAAAGUAUAAUGCAUCUUAUCAUCCAGGGAAAAAUAGAAGGAAAACGGAUUCGUGGAAGAAGAAGAACAUCAUGGUUGAGAAAUUUACGUCAGUGGUUCGGUUUGAGAACUAGCUCACUCUUCCGAGCUGCACCGAACAAAAACCAGCAAAUCACGGUAGCUUAAGAUGGUACUUCAUCAACAAAAGUCGAAGCGAGGUUAUCGACAUACUGCUGUUGAUUUAAUCCACGUGAAUCCACCAUAGAAAAUCAUCGUUCGGAAAUGUUUCAAGUAUUCAACUCAAAUGGUACUUUAUGAUAGCAGUAUCAGAUUUGACAUAUUCACAUUGGUGUUGUCAUAUGUCAAAACUUAAGUACCUACCCUCAACACAAGACUUGUUAUUUUUUCCUGUUCGGUAAACAUAGUUGAAUUUUCAAAACUACCUUCAAUCAUAACAAUGAGAAAUAAUUCAUGACAUUAAAAGACAAUGAACUACAUUUGUAACGUAAACAUUUUUUUAAUAAUUUCCACCGACUGUAAUUUUGUAACUAUUAUACGAAAAAUUACGUGUGUUUGAUAAUUCUCAAUUUGAUAUUGUCAAUACAGUAGAUGAUAGAAAAGUUGACCGUGAAAACCCAUCAAUAUUUUACGUUAUCUCAUAAUUUAUCUUCUAGAUUUGAUAAUAACAUUAUAGUGCUGUAAAUAAAUAAUUUGUUAUAUAUUUACCGUCCAAUAUUGAAUCAGAGUUCAUUUGAAUGUUUUUUAUGAAUCAUGUUUGAUUAUUGAAUUAUGAUUAAAUAAUUUUUGUCCCGAGUCUCAAAACUUGUGAUGAUUACUUUUUAGUCUAAAUCAUUCCAAAAAUUUGAAAUAAUGUGGAUCUAUAUUUUACUUAUACUCCAUUUUCCAUACAACUGAAUUUUCACACUUCGAAAAUUGAUUGUAUGCGAAAUGUAAUUGAAAUAAAAAUUUUGUUAUAAUAAAAAAUACAUUUAGUUCCAAAUUAGCGCACUACGAUAUUAUUUUUGCAAUUUUGAAAAUGAUAAUAGUUUUUAUUUCGAUAUAAACUCGUUCUGUAAUAUCUAUUUCGUCAUAUUAAGUAUUUAAUACUGAAUUAGUAUUGAUAGUAUAAGGUUUGCAUUCUAAUUAUUCUAUACUGCAUAAAAAGUGCACAGGAAUAGUUUUUUAUGGAUCGAGGCACUGAAGUCAUACUUUUUGUCACCACGCUGCAGAUAAGUUGCCGAGGCAACUAACCAUGCAAGUUAGUGUCGCGUUGCAUAUUAUAUUUUUUCCGAAAUCGCCCAGAUUCAGAAAUAUUUGAGAAAAUAUUUGGAAUUGAAGGGAGCAAAAUAGGUUAUGAAUAAAAUAAUUAUUUUUAAAAAAUAUGCAUGAAAAUCUUAUUCCUUUUCAUUCGUUUAUAUUAAUGGUAAUUGAACAGUUUGAAUUAUUUGUAAUGUGAAAAGUUUGUGAGCUGGUUGACGUGUAAUCGACUGCAGUCAAACAUGAAGCGGAGGGCAGUAUAAUUAAUUCAGUGUCUAGGCACUGAAGAGCGAUUUCACUACCGAUUUCAAUCGAGCAAUCGAUCAAAAAAUUGUGUGUGUCAGCUCCGACGCACGACUGGAGUUUACUCCUUAAGUUCGAUAGUCUAACCAGAUGCAAAAAGAGUUUAUUUAACUUAAAAAAGAUUGGUUGAUUGCCGGAAUAUUUUGGGCUUCCUUCAUUAAUUUUUUUUUAAUCUGUAAGCUCGCUGUCUCUCGGCUGGAGUUUUUGGAGGUUUAGAUUUUUUCCUAAUCAAAAAAUAUAAA